AUUCCAGCUCCAAUAGCGUAUAUUAAUGUUGUUGCAGUUAAAAAGCUCGUAGUUGGAUUUCUGGUGGGAGCGGCCGGUCCGCCGCAAGGUGUGUACUUGGUUGUCUCCUGUCAUCCUUGUGGGAACUGCUCUGGCAUUAAGUUGUCGGGGUUAGGGAACACAUCGUUUACUGUGAAAAAAUUAGAGUGUUUAAAGCAGGCUUAUGCCGUUGAAUACAUUAGCAUGGAAUAAUAAGAUAGGACUUUGGCGUCUAUUUUGUUGGUUUGCACACCAAGGUAAUGAUUAAUAGGGAUAGUUGGGGGUAUUCGUAUUUAAUUGUCAGAGGUGAAAUUCUUGGAUUUAUGAAAGACGAACUUCUGCGAAAGCAUUUACCAAAGAUGUUUUCAUCA
Molecule: ribosomal RNA, 389 nt
Filed under: Stramenopiles sp. MAST-1C
Lineage: Eukaryota
Description: partial small subunit ribosomal RNA
Rfam family: Eukaryotic small subunit ribosomal RNA
Source: RNAcentral